GCGGAUGUGGUGGAAUUGGUAGACACAACGGACUUAAAAUCCGUUUCCCCUUGGGAGUAUGGGUUCAAGUCCCAUCAUCCGUACCA
This 86-nucleotide transfer RNA is filed under the name Porticoccaceae bacterium. RNAcentral describes it as "tRNA-Leu". It matches the Rfam family "tRNA". Rfam says of the family: Transfer RNA (tRNA) molecules are approximately 80 nucleotides in length. Lineage: Bacteria; Pseudomonadati; Pseudomonadota; Gammaproteobacteria; Cellvibrionales; Porticoccaceae. The record is from RNAcentral.